UCAGCUUCUUUGGUUACUCAACCACUUCGGAUGACCCCUUGUUGAACUGCCUUGAAGAUCAUUCUCCUUGGUACUUGAUGUCUGCACAUGAGAGGCUUCCAAGCUGACAGUAGGCUCUUCUAUUAGGUACUUAGAAGCUUUCUCAUGCUUGACACCAAGAUGGCUUUUGUGAUCUCCCUUCUGCUACUUGAUGCCUUCUCAUGAUGGACUUGCUAAGAUGACUGUAGGCUCUUCUCUAUUGUACUUAGAGUCUUCCCAUGAUGGACACCAAGAUGACAUAAUGCUCUUCUUUCUCUUGGCAGUUCUGAACACUCUUCAUGUAGUAGAACUCUCACUUCUACAUAGUAGAACUCACACUUCUACUUCUUUCUUUAUCUGACUUCUGAGUGUUCUUGGUGGAUCGUAGAGUGAACCUUCUGACUUACUGUUUCACAUGUUUUAGAUCAGUCCACCUUCUCUCCAAACUCGGCAACUCCAGCAACCUUUGAUCUUUGAAGCUCUUCCUUAUUUAUACUCAUUCCCAAUCCUUCCGUUGGAAAGUAGCCGUUGAAGGCUACUCAAAUCUCUUCACAGAUCUCGAGUUACUUGAGGUAGACUGCUUGAUGUGACUUGUCAUACUUUUUUGACGUUGCAGUUUACUGUUUCACCUACCCUGUCAGAUGUAUCACUUUAAUGUCUUGGGCAGGUUGAAGACUUUAUUACCUCUUUUUGAUUUCUCGAUUAGAGCUUGUCCUAUUGCAUCGAUGCUCUCAAUAAGCACUUGUCCAAAUAUUACCAUUAAGAUUGAACCUUUGCCAAUGCUUCAAUCUUCAGUUAUUCGGACUCUACGAUUCUGAUGCAUGUCUUCAAGGACUCGAUCGUAGUGUCUUGUUGAGUGUUGCUCAUUGACUGGUAGAGUUAACACUACGAUCUUGAAGAGUUUUGAUUGGAUCUUUAAUGUAGAACACUUCUUCCUUGUAUUGUGUAGUGCUUCAAUACUUCUGUUUGCCUCAACUGCUCUUAGAGACUGAUGGCCUAAUUCCUUGUUCUGGUCCCCUUCUGAAUAUCAAGACACUUCAGAUUUGUGGCGCGUCCAGCUUGCUUUCUCCUUGUGAUCUCCCGUUCACUUAUCAUCAAUGAACUGACCCUGCACUUAAUCACUUUAGCCUUGCUCUUCAAAGGCUGACCAGUAUCUCGGUUCACCUUCCAUCAGUUCCUUCUUUGUUUGGCAAACACUACGAUCUUGGUUGCUUCCAAGAUCGUUGUCUUCUGUUCACUUGAUAGCUACUGCAUUAGCUGACUUUCCUUAGUCAGCUUCUGAAGUCUUCUUUGGAUCUCCUUGUGGAAGACUUCAUCACGAAUGGCCUUACACCUCAAUCUUGAUGCUGAUUGGGUUGGUGCUGAGAUCUUCUGUUAGCCUGCAUGCCAUUCGUUGAGUGCUCUCUGGUUUCCUUGGAUGUAGCUUGCAGCUUGAACCAGAGGCUUCGUUCCUUUGGAUAUUCUGGGAGUGCUCAUUUGUUGAGAACCGUAUAUGCUCUACGAUUCAUCCUUGGCAUUGUGAGCACUUCUUCUUAGAUCGUAGUUCUGCACUCUACGAUUCAGCUUCGGCUUGUGCAGACACUACGAUCCCGAGAUCAGAUCUUGACACUACGAUUUCUGCCUUGUGCUUGUUGUCUUCAUCUGAUCUUGCUUGACUACGAUCUCUGCAUGUAAUCAAUAGACUCUACGAACUCAGAGUGUGAUCUACGAUCCUUGACUUGGCUUUGGCAUCAGUAGACUCUACGACUCUGAGUGUAGUCUACGUUUCUAUCUUGACUUCGGCAGAUGACUGGUCGGCUCGUAGGCAGGCUGUCUCUACGAUUCUGAACAUGACUUCCUCAGCACACUACGAUCCCAAGGAAGCUCUACUCGAUACACUACGAUCCUUCUUCGUUUCCCCUGGCAGUCUACGAACUCCGAGAUCUACUAUCUUGCAUACUCCUAUUCUGCCUCGAUAGCUCUCGAGUUAACCUUGACUCACCUGGCAGACUACGACUUCUGGUGCAGUGCUCGACGAUCAGACUAGCUUAUCUAUUACAUCAUUAGAUCAACCUAACAAGCUUGAUCUCUCUAUAUUUAUAGUCCUUGUACAUCAUUUCUUUUUAAGGACUUUACAAAGCUGUUUUGCUUAUGUAAGAUCAACCUAACAUAUUUGAUCAAUUCAUUCUAAGUCCUUGUACAUAUAUUUCUAUUGUCUAUCAAAGGACUUUACAGCUUUUCUUAAUGCAAGCAUACUUGCAUAUUAUUCAUUCAUAUAUGUAUAUAUCAUAAUCAAAUCAUAUAUAAAUAGGAAUAGCAUUCACAUGCAUAUUCCUGACAAUCUCCCACUAUUUGAUUAUGACAAAAAUAAUAAGUACAUAUGCAUGUUAUGAAUGAACCUUAUAUACAGUGAGCAGUUGUAUUUCUAAGACAGUUAAUCAUGAAUGUCAUUUAAAUUGAUGUGGCAAUUUAUAUAUUAAGACAAUCUACAUCCUGGAUCCAGAACAUACCUAUCUAGUUAGAGAUGUACCUCUUUGGCUCCAUGUAUGUUUCCAGGAUGCUUGUUGAUCAGCUACUCAUCUGAUUGGUCUUCUUUUUCUUGCUCCACCUGGGAUGAUGACAUUUUGUCUUUGCUUGGGUCCUCUUCAGCAUCUUCCUGAUCAGGCUCCCCCUCAGAAUUUGCAAUCUUGUUAUCAUCAUCUUCUGGCUCCCCCUAUGAUCAUGACUCUUUAUCUGCAGCUGCUUUUUUCUUCUUUGACUUCUUCUCCCUUAACCCUCUGCUCUUCCUUGAGUGCCUCUUGCUCCUCUUCUUUCUAUGCCUCUUUUUCUCUCCCUUUUUGUCAUCAAUCAUUUGAGAGAGCUGCUCCAUGUUGGACAUAAGCUGCUCCAUCAGGUAGGAGGAGUUGGCAACUUCAAACUUUAGUUCUUGAUGUCCUAGCUCAAGUUGCACUGAGAAGGUCUGCCUCAUAUCAUCAAUCUUGUCAGAGAGGGCUUCGAUCUGCUCUGCAUUGGCCUUCUAAAUUUGUAGAGCUUCUUCCUUCUGAUCUUGUAUGGCCUUUUGAUAGAUGUUAUCUCUCUCUUGGAGUUUAAGAGAUACAUCAGCCAAGAUAUCUUGAAGCUUAUGCUUGAAAGAAUCAUCUCCUGCAGCUGUCUUCUUAUGUGAUUCUUCAGUGAGCAUAGAUAUCUUAGAAGCUUUCUCAUGCUUGACACCAAGAUGGCUUUUGUGAUCUUCCUUCUACUACUUGAUGCCUUCUCAUGAUGGACUUGCUAAGAUGACUGUAGGCUCUUCUCUAUUGUACUUAGAGUCUUCCCAUGAUGGACACCAAGAUGACAUAAUGCUCUUUUUUCUCUCGGCAGUUCUGAACACUCUUCAUGUAGUAGAACUCUAACUUCUACAUAGUAGAACUCACACUUCUACUUCUUUCUUUAUCUGACUUCUGAGUGUUCUUGGUGGAUCGUAAAGUGAACCUUCUGACUCACUGUUUCACAUGUUUUAGAUCAGUCCACCUUCUCUCCAAACUCGGCAACUCCAGCAACCUUUGAUCUUUGAAGCUCUUCCUUAUUUAUACUCCUUCCCAAUCCUUCCGUUGGAAAGUAGCCGUUGAAGGCUAUUCAAAUCUCUUCACAGAUCUCGAGUUGCUUGAGGUAGACUGCUUGACGUGACUUGUCAUACUUUUUCUGACGCUGCAGUCUACUGUUUCACCUACCCUGUUAGAUGUAUCACUUUAAUGUCUUGGGCAGGUUGAAGACUUUAUUACCUCUUUUUGAUUUCUCGAUUAGAGCUUGUCCUAUUGCAUCGAUGCUCUCAAUAAGCACUUGUCCAAAUAUUACCCUUCAGAUUGAACCUUUGCCAAUGCUUCAAUCUUCAGUUAUUCGGACUCUACGAUUCUGAUGCAUGUCUUUAAGGACUCGAUCGUAGUGUCUUGUUGAGUGUUGAUCAUUGACUGGUAGAAUUAACACUACGAUCUUGAAAAGUGUUGAUUGGAUCUUCAAUGUAGAACAUCUCUUCCUUGUAUUGUGCAGUGCUUCAAUACUUCUAUUUGCCUCAACUGCUCUUAGAGACUGAUGGCCUAAUUCCUUGUUCUGGUCCCCUUCUGAAUAUCAAGACACUUCAGAUUUGUGGCGCGUCUAGCUUGUUUUCUCCUUGUGAUCUCCCGUUCACUUAUCAUCAAUUAACUGACCCUGCACUUAAUCACUUUAGCCUUGCUCUUGAGAGGCUGACCAGUAUCUCGGUUCACCUUCCAUCAGUUCGUUCUUUGUUUGGCAAACAUUAUGAUCUUGGUUGCUUCCAAGAUCGUUGUCUUCUGUUCACUUGAUAGCUACUGCAUAAGCUGACUUUCCUUGGUCAGCUUCUGAAGUCUUCUUUGGAUUUCCUUGUGGAAGACUUCAUCACGAAUGGCCUUACAACUCAAUCUUGAUGCUUAUUAGGUUGGUGCUUAGAUCUUCUGUGAGCCUGCAUGCCAUUCGUUGAGUGUUCUCUGGAUUCCUUGGAUGUAGCUUGCAGCUUGAACCAAAGGUUUCGUUCCUUUGGAUAUUCUGGGAGUGCUCAUAUGUUGAGAACCGUAUAUGCUCUACGAUUCUUCCUUGGCACUGUGAGCACUUCUGUUGAGGUCGUAGUUCUGCACUCUACGAUUCAGCUUCGGCUGGUGCAGACACUACGAUCCCGAGAUCAGAUCUUGACACUCUACGAUGUCUGCCUUGUGCUUGUUGUCUUCAUCUGAUCUUGCUUGACUACGAUCUCUGCAUGUAAUCAAUAAACUCUAUGAACUCAGAGUGUGAUCUACGAUCCUUGACUUGGCUUUGGCAUCAGUAGACUCUACGACUCUAAGUGUAGUCUACGUUUCUGUCUUGGCUUCGGCAGAUGACUGGUCGGCUCGUAGGCAGGCUGUCUCUACGAUUCUAAACAUGACUUCCUCAGCACACUACGAUCCCAAGGAAGCUCUACUCGAUACACUAUGAUCCUUCUUCGUUUCCCCUGGCAGUCUACGAUCUCCGAGAUCUACUAUCUUGCAUAUUCCUAUUCUGCCUCGAUAGCUCUCGAGUUAACCUUGACUCACCUGGCAGACUACGACUUCUGGUGCAGUGCUUGACGAUCAGACUAGCUUAUCUAUUACAUCAUUAGAUCAACCUAACAGGCUUGAUCUCUCUAUAGUUAUAGUCCUUGUACAUCAUUUCUUUUUAAGGACUUCACAAAGUUGUUUUGCUUAUGUAGGAUCAACCUAACAUAUUUGAUCAAUUCAUUCUAAGUCCUUGUACAUAUAUUUCUAUUGUCUAUCAAAGGACUUUACAGCUUUUCUUAAUGCAAGUAUACUUGCAUAUUAUUCAUUCAUAUAUGUAUAUAUCAUAAUC
Molecule: long non-coding RNA, 5346 nt
Filed under: Panax ginseng (ginseng)
Lineage: Eukaryota; Viridiplantae; Streptophyta; Magnoliopsida; Apiales; Araliaceae
Description: long non-coding RNA (PGIN_LNC001246)
Source: RNAcentral